RNAcentral lists this ribosomal RNA (885 nucleotides) under uncultured Chloroflexota bacterium. Its description in RNAcentral is "bacterial SSU rRNA". It matches the Rfam family "Bacterial small subunit ribosomal RNA", at positions 28 to 916 of the family's 1533-position model. The record is from RNAcentral. Lineage: Bacteria; Bacillati; Chloroflexota.
GACGAACGCUGGCGGCGCGCCUAAUGCAUGCAAGUUGAACGAUCCCGACUGGCUUCGGCCUAUCGGGAAAGUGGCGGACGGCUGAGUAACGCGUGAGCGAUCUGCCCUAGGGCGGGGAAUAAUUCCGGGAAAUCGGGACUAAUUCCGCGUACGCUCCACAUCGUAGAGGUUGUGGAGGAAAGGACAGGGGUAACCCUGUUCGCCCUUGGAGGUGCUCGCGUUCUAUCAGGUAGUUGGUGGGGUAACGGCCUACCAAGCCUAAGACGGAUAGCUGGUGUGAGAGCACGAUCAGCCAGAGGGGGACUGAGACACGGCCCCCACUCCUACGGGAGGCAGCAGCAGGGAAUCUUGCACAAUGGGCGAAAGCCUGAUGCAGCGACGCCGCGUGAGGGAUGAAGGCUCUAGGGUUGUAAACCUCUUUUCCCAGGGAAGAGUAAGGACGGUACCUGGGGAAUAAGCCACGGCUAACUACGUGCCAGCAGCCGCGGUAAUACGUAGGUGGCGAGCGUUGUCCGGAAUUACUGGGCGUAAAGGGUCCGUAGGCGGCCUGGAAAGUCUCUUGUGAAAUCUCCCGGCUUAACUGGGAGAGGUCGAGGGAUACUUUCAGGCUUGAGGACGUCAGAGGGAGACGGAAUUCCCGGUGUAGUGGUGGUAUGCGUAGAUAUCGGGAGGAACACCAGUGGCGAAGGCGGUCUCCUGGGGCGCUCCUGACGCUGAGGGACGAAAGCGUGGGUAGCAAACCGGAUUAGAUACCCGGGUAGUCCACGCCCUAAACGAUGAAUACUGGGUCUGGGGGGUAUCGACCCCCUCCGGGCCGAAGCUAACGCGUUAAGUAUUCCGCCUGGGGACUACGGCCGCAAGGCUAAAACUCAAAGGAAUUGACGG